Macaca mulatta (Rhesus monkey) is the source of this 1661-nucleotide non-coding RNA. NCBI's taxonomy places the organism in Eukaryota, Metazoa, Chordata, Mammalia, Primates, Cercopithecidae. The record is from RefSeq and is a predicted model, not a curated record.
GUAUGUGUGAGCAUGUGUGUGAGCAUGUGUAUGGGUGAGCAUGCAUGUGUAUGUGAGUCUGUGAGCAUGUGUGUUGGUGGGAGCAUGGAGUGUAGAGAACCCAGGUACCUGCCUGAGACCAUGAAGCGCAAGUGAUGCCAAACUCCCCCAGGAUCAACCAUUUAUGGCCUGCAUGAUUGUUCCGGUGUGUUCCUUUAAUAGGGCAGGGGCACCUUGUCUAAUGACAAUGAAAGAGGAUUUUCAUUUUCUACAAACAAUAUUUAUUGUCAAUGAAUGCCACACAUCCUUACUUGUCAUUCUCUGUUUUCUUUAAAACUCAUUUUCCUGCAGGACCACGUUGCCUGCUUUGGUUUAAAUGAGAGAUGGUCAAUCUUCUGCAGGGGGGAUUUUUGGUGUUGGGGGGAACCUGCAGAACAUAAUGCACAGUUGCCCCCUUGUUCCCCAGGUCACCUCUGGGUGCAGGGCAGCUGCUGCUCCCUGGGCUCUGUGUCCCAGGUCCUGUGAUGCCUGACAAAGGCUGCAGCUGGAUCACUGGGGCACGCGCGACAAAACAGAACGGACAGGCUGCAACAUGCCAAGCUGCUAAAAGGACUGAUGCUUUAUUCGUCGGAGGAGAAAUACCAUUGUGGGGUCUACGGACCUCUAUCUAAGGCUUGUUAAACCAGAAAUGCUCACGCUCUGGAAAGAGGCCCAGGAUCCACUGGGCAGAAUGGCAAAGCAAAGAUACCCAGCACGGAGCUUGGACGCAUGUCCUCAGCAGAACUCAGUGCGGGGGUACAGGGUGUGGGGGUGCAUCAGUUGUGCUCCGACAGGUGCAUGGGGUCCCCUUUCCCUUUGGCACAAGCUGCCUGUGCUUCCGGACCAACCACCUGUUGAGAAAGCCUCUCUGUCCAGAAGUGAACUAUGAAAGGCCCUGAGAGGGUGGGCUGUAUGUAAGACACAGGAAGGAGACCAGGCCCUCAGGAGUGGCAUCCAUGUGCAUUUGGGGCACAGUGAGGACUGGAAAAGACUGACCACGGCCCAGGCUGCCUGCCUUCCAGCUGCCAGUCUGCUGGGAAGUCACUUCCAUGGGGGUGGGGAGAGGUGAUGGCUACUGACACCCAGGUCACACCCACCAAUGAGCCAGUGGCUUCGGGCCUCACAGGCAGUGAGUGGACGUCUAGGCGCCUGGAAUGCACCUCUAGGGCUCUGUGCCUGGGCUCUGAACAAGGAGAGAAGCCACCGACCCUCCUCUUGGCUGCCUUACCUCCAGCAGAUAAUGUAAAAAGAAACUUUGAAAAAUGAGCUGAUCCAAUGAAACCUCCCACAGCUGGAAUCACUAAGCACCGAGGCUCUUGCUUUAAAAAAAAUAAUUACUUGCUCACCAGCAGACCACAGACGUUCUCAAUAAAUCAGGAUUAGGCCUGGGUAAUGGUGCAGGCCACAUUGGAACCGAGGGGUGUUCAGACCAGGGUGGCUCAGACUCACCUUCCCAAACACGGCCACGCGCGUCCUGUCGAUGUACUGCUCCUUCAGCAUCGUCCUGCGAGGUCGAAGAGGGGAGAGAGGGUUCAGUGCACAUCCUGCUGGUCCUUUGUCUCCCUGUGGUCUAGAGCCAUAUUUUCCAUCCAUUUCAAGGAUGAAAACCCCUCUUCAAAUAAAAAGCAACCUUAGCAUUCCAA